GCCCGCAUAGAUCAAUGCCAGAUCAUCUCUCCACAAUUAUUGGUACAUUUAGUCUGAUACCGAGAAGACGGAGGUUCGAAUCCUCCUGUGGGCA
This is a non-coding RNA of Mycena metata, 94 nucleotides long. NCBI's taxonomy places the organism in Eukaryota, Fungi, Basidiomycota, Agaricomycetes, Agaricales, Mycenaceae. The record is from the annotation of a GenBank genome assembly.